Parus major (Great Tit) is the source of this 5610-nucleotide long non-coding RNA. RefSeq lists it as uncharacterized. NCBI's taxonomy places the organism in Eukaryota, Metazoa, Chordata, Aves, Passeriformes, Paridae. The transcript is spliced from 3 exons. The record is from RefSeq and is a predicted model, not a curated record.
UAAAAAAAAUAUACGUCUAUUGUUAAUUGGAUAAGUAUAAAGAUAAAAUAACUGCAUAGUUCAGGGCCAUUUUGAGCUAUCAGAGCCAAAAUGUGCCAGGUUGUAGUGAAUUAAACUUAUGCAGAAAGUCUGGAGAGACCAGCCAAGUUUUGUGAUAACACCUAAUAAACACGAGAAACAAGAUCCUAACAGGCUUUGGAGUUUUCUUCUGACCUGGAGAACUGAGAAGCGGUACUCCCUGUGAAGGGAAUCCUGAAGGAGCUUAGAUCAGAGAAACUGAGAAAUCCAGAAGUGAGGGGAAGUGCAAAAGAAGCACAACAGAAUCAAGAAAGAGAAAGAAAAAACAGAAUUAAGUUAUAUAUUGGGUAACAAGGAGGAAUAAAAGAGGUGAACCUUCAGAGAGAUUUUUUUUAAGAGUCCUUGCUCAGAGGGAGACUGGAGACCUCUGAGAUAUUCCUGAAGGCUAGAUAUCUAGAAUAAGUCUACUUCCAUGAAUUUUAUGGGGCUUCCAGCAUGAUCUCUUUAAGGGUUAUGUUGUAUGGCUGGAAAAGGAGGAAAGUGUUUCAGUGGGGAUUGCAGCCCACUCUGCAAGGCAUGGCAACUUGACCUGUUGUCUCUGGAUUACAGACCUUUCAAAGGCUGCCUUAUUUUGGUUUCCCAUGUCUGAAAGCAUUCAGCUUACCCUCCUGCAGAUGAUUUGUAGGUAAGGGACAGCUUGUCACUGUUGGGCCUUUGGCUGAGCAGGGAGGGAGCUCCAGCUGGACCAGGCAGUUUUGGACUUUUCCCAUGCUUGGGAAUGUCUGCAGCCACAGACUUUGAGAUGAGAAUGUUAUCUCUUAGAUGGGAAGGUAGUGACUGUACAGGGUCUCUUCUGAUGCUGUGGGACUGCGGUGUCAGAAGCAAACAGCGUGUCUAGCAGGGAGAAGGCAGGUGUUAGGAGUGUUGCUCUGUGACAUACACUGGUGGUAAGAACUAGGAACCCUCUCACUAGAGCUUAAAAUCUCAGUCUUAAAAUGUUGGUGUGUUUCAGGCAUCCUCCUGCAGUGAUAAGUGCACAUGUGAAGCAUAUCUUGUUUGUAUGCAGGCUGACACAAUGAUCUCAUCACAGUGCGUCAGCAAUGUUCUAAAUCUUCUAGGAGUCAACAGUCAUAUUUGACAUUCAUAUCUUUAUGUGUGUACAUAAAAACAGUAUUUUUUCAGCCAGAAUAUAGCUGCAUAAUAUUUUCGUGCUUUGCCUUUGAACAGAUUGCUUUUGUAUGCAACAGGUGAUGACUAAAGAGAUUAUUUCGUUUAGUUUAAUAACAUAGCUGAAAUGAACAUCAGAAGUAAAAUUUGGCAUUUCCAGCUCUGUCCAGUGAUUAACAGAGAAGCUGGUACAUUUUUGCCUCACACAGUCUGUUCUUGUUGAACAGUGAACUCAUUCUUCAUGAACGUACGAAGUCAUAAACCAAGUCUAUACAGCAGGAAGGACUACACUUGUCUGUACAGUCUGUCUCAAGGCUGGUUUUUGUGGGGUCACAGCAAAGUAGCCUAUAGCCAGCAGUAUUCUUAGGCAGGAAGCCCAUGUACCCAUUGGGUUUUCAAUGUCAAAAUGCUACAGAUAUCCAGAGAAAAUUGUCCUUCAAGUCCUUCAAAUGGCUGGCAUGGGUGGUGAUAGCUGUUUUUCAGGAUCACAGAAGCCAGUUUUCUGGCCACAAAAUUAUGUUAUUUUGCAUUGCAUGAGUAGGUAACAUUUUCUGCUUUUGUUUCAAACCUAAACACGGAUUAUAUCCUAAAGGAAAGUAUCUUAGAGGAUAAAGGAGCCUUUUUUACUAAAGUUUGUUUCCUUCUCCAAAAUCCAGUAGAUUUCAGUCUAAAAAAAGCACUAUGGACUUGGUCUAAUUUAUAGUUCCCAACAUCAUGGGGUAUUUUCCCCCCUUGUAGACUCUGAAAUGUUUCUCAGUUCCCAGGAAGCUGAUGUUAUAAAUAGGCUGGACACAGUUUUCUUUGGUUUUCUAGGUGGGAGAUGGCAAGUGUCUGAAGGGACUGAAGCUCUACCAUUUCAGUGCCUGCCUGCAGUCAUCUGAAGCACCCUACAAAUAUCCAGAAGUCCACAAGCAACAAGUCAAAAGACACUGCUGUAAGAAAACUUCAUGUGACAAAGAAAUUUCUACUUGCAGUCAGAGAGUGUCUGUGCUACUACAAGGAUCUCCUCAGUAAAAAUGGGUUCUGGAUUUUCAGCAGAAGAUCGGUAAUCACUGCUGCUCCAAACAGCACCAAACAGCCCACUAUAAGCAUUCAUGCAGCCCAGGGGGAACUUAUGGACCCCCAGUCCAUUCAAGACUGGAUGUGUGAGUUGGCUGUUCAGGACUGGAUACAGGUGGAUUUUGAGCAUGCAGACAAAAAACUCUCUGGCCAUCUUGUGCAUCCACUCUCGCAGUAAAAGUAUUUCAAAAGCGAUCUCCUGUAUUUCAGUUCAUGCCCAUUGUCUCUAACCCUGGCACUGUGCACCACUGAGAAGUGUGUCUCCAUCUCCUUCACCCUCAUCAGGUUUUUGUUCAUGCAGAUAAGAUGCUCUUGAGCUUUAUCUUCUCCACACUAAGCAGUCCCAUCUCUCCUGUCAUCUUCUCAUAUAUCAGAUUCUUCAGCUUUUUCAUUGUGCUUCUGGCAUUCCCAUGGACUUGCUUGAGCUGUGACCUUACCAAUGCUGAGUAGUGAAGGAUCCCAUUCCUCAGCCAGCUGUCAUCACUUCUUUCUGUGCAGCCCAAGACACCGUUUGCCUUUUCUGUGGAAAGAGCACACUGAAAGGGGAUAAAGUUCAAUUUGGGGCCCACCAGGACCUUCAGAUCCUUUUCUACCAAGCUGCUUUCCAGAAUGUUAGCCCCCAGGCUCCUGCUGUUCCCUUCUGGGUUCAGGAUUUUAAACUCCUUCUUGCUGAACUUCAUGAUGUUCCUGUUGCGCCAUUUCUCCAGCCAGACCAAGUCUCUCUGGAUGACAGCAUGACCUCCUGGCUGUCAUGUGUACAUCAGCAUGGUGUAAAAAGGGAGUAUGAAUCUGAAGUUAUUUUACUUCAGUAUACAUACAGGAAAACAAUCCUGUUAGUCUAAACCAAAAGCAAAAUAUAUCCUUCUCGGUCUGAAAUGGAAACAAGGCAAUUGGAUUGCUGAUGGUAAUCAUUGACUGUGACUUCUGGCUGCAUCACUAAUUCCUGAAAAAACUGGGUGAAAAAAAGAUAAUAAAUGAGUUUUGUAAGUCCUUGAUAUAUCUGGGCACAGACUCCGAGUGUCUUCAUUGCAUAUUGGUUAUGAGUCAUCUUGUCUGCUUGAGGGAAUCAACAACUUGUCCUGCACAAUAACCAUACUUCUUCCAGCCCAAUACUUCCAGUCUCUCUCCUAGGUUUCCCCUUCACCUGCCCAGAAUUUCCAGGGCCAUUAUCUUACUUCUAGGUUUCCUAUUGCUUUUUGGUUUGCUCUCUCUGCUCUGCCUUCCCAUUUCUUCCCUCCCAGCCAAGUAGAGAUACAGGCUGCCACUCCCUGUCCAACCACACAUCCAUGGGAGUGAAGUGCAUUUCUUCAUCUCUGUGCCUGGUGCAGGGGCUGACAUGGUUCUCUCCACUUUUGCAUUUCUCCAUUUCUAGGAGGUACCAGUUCACAUAGAAGCCAGCCAUGGAUGUGUUGCUGGUGUGCACCCUCCUGGAGGACUUGCAUGUGGAAUGAACCUGCUCCUCACUGGAGGACAAAUGCAGAGGCAGCUGUGGUGCCCUGAUGGUCACCAUCCUUCUGACCAGUCAGUCUGUCCCACUGCUUCCAUGCCUGGGAGAUGGUAAACAGUGGGAACGGGCAGCACAUCUGGGACUUGGAAUAGAAGAAGGGCUUAGAUCUUCUGAGAUGAGAAGCCAAAGGGGAAGUUGAAAAUGCCACAUCUGAUCUCUGAAAACACGGAACUCACAGGGCUGUAGACAUAAUCUCCUUGGGGGGAAAAGAAAAGCCUCAGGAAAAAAAAUCUGUAUUUUACUGCUGAUGUCUCAAUUUUAAAUUCUGUCUUUGGGCAUAACAUCUAACAUGUUCCUCAACAAAUUGAUUGAGUGGUAGCUAAUUUGGUAAUUUUGUGACCACAGAUGUCAUUUGUUUCCUUUCAGGGAAGUGCUCACCCUCAGUGCUGCACAUUUUGCCUUUACAUGGUCAGGAAUGCAUUUGCAGGCAUCUGUAACAAUGGUUUAAAUGACUGCCCUUUGUCUAAUUCAAGAACAACUGUUUUUGUCUAAGCAGAAUUUACACUUAUUCAUUAUGUUCCUUAAGAAAACACCACAUAUCUGAUGUAUUAGAUGUCUCACACACACAUACAAACACACAAACACAGGAAUUACCCCUCCCAAUAUAAACAAACAAGCCAAAAAAUGGAGGCUGACAAUGAAGCCAGCUUGGGCUGCAUGCUGAAUGCCUUUUGCUUGUCUGCAUGAACUUGCUGGAGGUGGAUGGUCUGCUUUAUGUGCUCUGGAGUGGCAAUGCUUCAGUGCCAUUUACAACAGAACAAUCCAGGAUAGCCGUCUUUAAAACAUAUAAACAUAUGUUUGAAACAUAGUUUUAAAUUUCAUGUUUAAAACAAUAUCAUUUGACACUUCAGAAAUAAUCUUCAGAUCUUGGACUUGCAUCAGAAUGGAGAUGCCUACAUAUACUUAUGUACAGUAAAAAUGUGUGUGGUUUUUAGUUCAGCACACAAAGUAACUCCCUGAAUUCAUUCUCUCAGCUAAAGGCUCUCAUCUGAAGGGUGUACUUGAUUCUUGUCCAGAGAAGGACAACAGCAUUCAGCAUUCCUUUUCUUCAGUGAGUGCUGUGGGAGGUAGUUCAAAGGACGAGAAAACAAGGUCUGUGUCAUAAGAGCAUAAAGUGAGAUCUGAUAUUCCUUUUUUUUUUGUUCUCUCAAGUUCUCUGAUAUUGCCAUAGUACUGGGUUUAGUCCUGCUGUACUCAGCAGUGUACACACCAGUGAUGCAGCCCACUGAUAUUUUGGAUGAUUGUGCUGCAGUCCUCCUGAGUUUAUUGUUCAGUGUACUUUUUCCCUUAAUUUUUUCUAUAUAUUAAGUGUUUCAAGAUGAUUAUCAAGAUGACUGCAAGAAAACGUGUUAGUUCUCUCUGAUACUACUUGGAAGGAAUUAACUGGAGAGUAAGGUGAAGUGGGUUGCAAAGUGGAUCACCAAAUCGAAAGUGGAGUGAGUUUGGUAUGUGAGGGGAAUAUGGAAAAUAAGUUUGAAAUAAAGCUACAGGAUGUAAGGUUCAGUGAAAAUGUGCAACAUCCUGAAGAUGUGAUGCUGUGAUGUGGCUUGAAGUGGUGUGAUGGCCACUGUAGCUGAGCUUCAUUGGCUGAAUAGCCAGUGAACAGGGGUGGAUGGGGGGAAUGGAGGCAUAGAUGUGUGUUUGGUACAGGAAUUUACACUAGGGAUUACUUUGCUGAAGGUGCAUUGGCUUGCUGAUCCUAAGACUCAAACUGCAUGUUGUACUCAUUAUGUGCUUGGGACAGAAAUGUCAUAGCAUAUUUGUACAAGCUGCAGUUUUCCUUAUUACCACAGCUGGAUUGCACAACUAUUCAGAUUCAUUCACUUUGUGUUUUCAUUAAACUUUAUCUUCACCUUUAA